Long non-coding RNA from Cyprinus carpio carpio, 1660 nucleotides. NCBI's taxonomy places the organism in Eukaryota, Metazoa, Chordata, Actinopteri, Cypriniformes, Cyprinidae. The record is from Ensembl.
AAAAGUUUUAAAGAAAUAAAUUGUACUUUAUUGUACGCCAUUUUCACACCACCAGCUGAAUACUACUAACAAUAUUUUCCCAACCCUUCCUGUUAUCAGAAAGUGUCAGUUGCGAAAACAAAUCAUUCAUGGGUGAAAAUCUUGCCUCUGAAUAGCGUAUACCAUAGCGUAUACAAUAGCAAAUGUAAAAGAGUUGUUUUUGCAAGGUGCUACUGUACAUCCACACCACUAGGUGUCAGUAUUACAUCUGAGAUCCCUGUUCUAUAAUCAAGUGCGACAUAAAAAUUACUGAGUAAACAUUAAAACAGAAUAUUAUUGAAUAACUUGCUGUUUUACCAAAGAAUAUUCAGUAUCAACGGCAAGAUAUUUUCAUUUAAAGGGGACAUCGGAAGAAAAAAAAAACUUUUACAUGGUGUUUGCAUAUAAAUGUGUCUUAGCAGUGUGUGGACACAACCACCCUACAAUGAUAAAAAAAUCCAUUCACUCCUUUUUUUUUAAUCCCCAAAAAACCUAAACAGUCUAAAUUAUCAAGCUAUUUAGAUUUUCUGAGCAGUAUGACAUCACACUGCUCAGGCUCCGCCCACGACCGCUGACGUACUGUCCCGUAUUAGCAUUUUUCCACCCUCAGCCAGUUGUACGUUGUCCACCAGUUUCUCCAUACUCGAGCAGCUGUAGCGAGAACAGUGUCUCGUAAGCAAUCCAGGUGUUUUGUAGUUGGAUGUAAAAGUAAACAUAAUUUUCUCCCGACAUGAGAGCCACUGAGGACGAAGUGGAUAGGUUUUGUUGUUGAUGGUAACGAAUGCACCGAAUGAUGCACUAAAAUGGGUAACUGGUUAUAAGGUAAAAAGGUGUCGAUUUACAUGACCAUUGAGGAAUUUUAACCAAAGUAUAUUGCAUACAUUUCAUGAAGACCCUAAAGAAUCCUACCAACUUUAACAAUGCGUUCACCAUAGUUAGUUUCCUAGACAUCAUGGAAGGUGAUUUUCCCUGAAAAAUCUUUUCCAGACUGGAAAUAACGACGGUGGAACAGUGUACCUGCCCUAUACCACGACCUGAUCACUGCCCAAAGCCCAUAAUUGGACUGGUCUGUAUUCACCAGACAACUCGACAAACCCUGUGUGGUUUAAUAAGACAGCUUCAGCAGUGUGUCCUCUCAACCCCAAUUUGGUGUGCUCCCUGCCGCCCUCGCUGGUCUAUGCUGAGUAGAGGAGGUCCAAAGGUGACUUUACCUGUCAUUCAUGCAGUCGGGAGCCCUUUGUUUCCCCGAUUAUGAAUUUAUAAUGAAUAUCACCCUCACCUCAGGACGGCACAGUAAUCUAAUUAAUGUAACAAAUGUGUCAGGCGUGUUCUAGCUAAAGGCAUAUGACAUUAGCAUAGCAUAGCUUCCUUUAGCAGUCUGUAGAAGGCUUAGAGUUCAGUAAGUAAUGCUUUUGCCAAAGAGGACUAAUUUUAGUAAACAAUCAGACCUUAAAACAGAUUUAAUGUUAUAAUGGGUCCUACUAGCCACACAAUACAAUAAAGCAACAAGCUACUAAAACUAUACCAAAAAGGAUGUUAAUAUGAAAUUUUGUGCUAAUUAGUCAUUGUAGCAAUCCAGCAUUUUGUUAUAACUGGCCUUGUGCUAUGUAUGUCAAAAAAGGAGUAGCCUGUCUCGUCGCAC